UUAAUAGAAGCUAAAAAGAAGCUAAUCUUUGUUAAAGAUUAAAUUGAUAAUAUAAUCCUAUUAAA
Molecule: transfer RNA, 65 nt
Filed under: Phytoseiulus persimilis
Lineage: Eukaryota; Metazoa; Arthropoda; Arachnida; Mesostigmata; Phytoseiidae
Description: tRNA-Asn
Source: RNAcentral